RNAcentral lists this ribosomal RNA (253 nucleotides) under uncultured bacterium. RNAcentral's name for it is "partial 16S ribosomal RNA". It matches the Rfam family "Bacterial small subunit ribosomal RNA", at positions 524 to 776 of the family's 1533-position model. The record is from RNAcentral.
UACGUAGGGGGCAAGCGUUGUCCGGAUUUAUUGGGCGUAAAGCGCUCGCAGGUGGUCCGCUGCGUCGUGCGUGAAAGACCCCGGCUCAACUGGGGGAUGUCGUGCGAUACGGGCGGACUGGAGGCCAGUAGGGGGAUGCGGAAUUCCGGGUGUAGUGGUGGAAUGCGUAGAGAUCCGGAGGAACACCAGUGGCGAAGGCGGCGACCUGGGCCAAUACUGACGCUGAGGUGCGAAAGCGUGGGGAGCAAACAGG